Long non-coding RNA from Micropterus salmoides (largemouth bass), 690 nucleotides. RefSeq lists it as uncharacterized. Lineage: Eukaryota; Metazoa; Chordata; Actinopteri; Centrarchiformes; Centrarchidae. The record is from RefSeq and is a predicted model, not a curated record. The transcript has 4 exons.
UUCUUCAGCUUGAGGCUUUAUCUUUUAGGUUUCCAGGUUGGAACGUCAGGAUUUUUAAUGAAUGCACUGUGCACGCAGAGAGGGAUCACUGCAGCAAUUUCUCCUAAUCUAUAACAUCACAGUCAUUUCACUCUUUCUCAUCUUGUUUGUUUUUGUUUCUCCUAAAAUAGCUCAAUGCCUCUCAUUUUCACGUGGCAAACAUCCAGCAGAGACAAGACAGGAAGCGAGAAAACUUCCUAUCCAACAGCAAAUAAGCCACGUGACCGAUCUCCCCGGGGGCCUCCAGCCUCUCGGGUCGAUGGAAGAUAAUGGCUGACAAAAGUGGAGUGGAAGAUGGCACCGACUUCAGUCCAGAAAGUGACCUCUGGGUCACCUCUGUUGAGGAACACCACCUGCCUGUGCCUCCUCCUCAUCCUCCUCCUCCUGAAUUACCUGAGGAAGAUGACAACUACUUUGCAGAUGAUGAAGAUGAGCCCAUGGAAGAAGGAGACUGAUUUUUUAUAGUUCAAUGAAGGCAUGGAUUUGUUCAUAAAGGAAGUUUUAAAUUCUACAUUCAGCAGUCAGACAAAUAUGACCUCUUUAGUUAUAACAUUAACAUUGAAUUGAAAUCCUUUCUGUAUCUGCUUGUUGUUUUAUUUAAUUGUAGUGCCAAUGGCCUGAUUAAUUUUAAAAGCAAUAUAUUUAUAUAGU